ACGCUCGACACCUACUGGAGGCAGCAGUGGGGAAUAUUGCACAAUGGGGGAAACCCUGAUGCAGCAACGCCGCGUGAAGGAAGACGGUUUUCGGAUUGUAAACUUCUGUUCUUAGUGAAGAUAGUGACGGUAGCUAAGGAGCAAGCCACGGCUAACUACGUGCCAGCAGCCGCGGUAAUCUGAGCGGCUGGCAAGGC
This 197-nucleotide ribosomal RNA is filed under the name uncultured bacterium. RNAcentral's name for it is "partial 16S ribosomal RNA". It matches the Rfam family "Bacterial small subunit ribosomal RNA", at positions 328 to 539 of the family's 1533-position model. The record is from RNAcentral.